RNAcentral lists this ribosomal RNA (497 nucleotides) under uncultured bacterium. RNAcentral describes it as "partial 16S ribosomal RNA". It matches the Rfam family "Bacterial small subunit ribosomal RNA", at positions 28 to 507 of the family's 1533-position model. The record is from RNAcentral.
GAUGAACGCUGGCGGCAUGCCUAAUACAUGCAAGUCGAGCGAACAGAUAAGGAGCUUGCUCCUUUGACGUUAGCGGCGGACGGGUGAGUAACACGUGGAUAACCUACCUAUAAGACUGGGAUAACUUCGGGAAACCGGAGCUAAUACCGGAUAACAUAUUGAACCGCAUGGUUCAAUAGUGAAAGGCGGCUUUGCUGUCACUUAUAGAUGGAUCCGCGCCGUAUUAGCUAGUUGGUAAGGUAACGGCUUACCAAGGCAACGAUACGUAGCCGACCUGAGAGGGUGAUCGGCCACACUGGAACUGAGACACGGUCCAGACUCCUACGGGAGGCAGCAGUAGGGAAUCUUCCGCAAUGGGCGAAAGCCUGACGGAGCAACGCCGCGUGAGUGAUGAAGGUCUUCGGAUCGUAAAACUCUGUUAUCAGGGAAGAACAAAUGUGUAAGUAACUGUGCACAUCUUGACGGUACCUGAUCAGAAAGCCACGGCUAACUACGUG